This 351-nucleotide ribosomal RNA is filed under the name uncultured Mitsuokella sp. RNAcentral's name for it is "bacterial SSU rRNA". It matches the Rfam family "Bacterial small subunit ribosomal RNA", at positions 354 to 794 of the family's 1533-position model. Lineage: Bacteria; Bacillati; Bacillota; Negativicutes; Selenomonadales; Selenomonadaceae. The record is from RNAcentral.
CGGGGGAAUCUUCCACAAUGGGCGCAAGCCUGACGGAGCAACGCCGCGUGAGUGAAGAAGGGUUUCGACUCGUAAAGCUCUGUUGUCGGGGACGAACGUGGAGACUAUGAAUAAUGGUUUUCAAUGACGGUACCUGACGAGGAAGCCACGGCUAACUACGUGCCAGCAGCCGCGGUAAUACGUAGGUGGCGAGCGUUGUCCGGAAUUAUUGGGCGUAAAGGGAGCGCAGGCGGGAGGUCAAGUCUAUCUUAAAAGUAGCGGGGCUCAACCCCGUGAGGGGAUGGAAACUGGUCUUCUUGAGUGCAGGAGAGGAAAGCGUGGGGAUCGAACAGGAUUAGAUACCCUGGUAGU